Molecule: long non-coding RNA, 2899 nt
Organism: Schistocerca nitens (vagrant locust)
Lineage: Eukaryota; Metazoa; Arthropoda; Insecta; Orthoptera; Acrididae
Exons: 9
Source: RefSeq, a predicted model, not a curated record
CUUUUAGACCUAUCAAUUUUGUCUGUAUAAUAACACAAAAAUUAUUUGCAGGGCUUGACACCCACAAUCAGGUCCAUGUUGAACAACCACACACUAUGCCAUGGCAGCCUGGUGUUCAUCAUGGUGCAUCAGGGCUGGACAUGAACCAGUUUGUUGCUGUGCAGCAUGGUUAUGCCACACCAAAUGUGCAACACAGCACAACAGGGCUUGAUACCCACAAUCUGGUCCAUGUUGUGCAACAACGACACACUAUGUAAUGGCAGUAAGGUUAUCAUCAUGGUGCAUCAGUGCUGGACAUGAACCACAUUGUUUCUGUGCAGCAUUGUUACACCACAUCAAAUGUGCUGCACAGCACAGGUAACACCUGAUGGAACCCAUCAUAUCAAAUGUCUGUGGUACUGCUCCAAUGACCUUAUAUUCUUUAACAAUGACAAAUUAUAUAUGAGCAGCACAUCAGUCUGGAUUAUGCCAUGUCAAGGAGCAGUGAGGGAGGUCCCAAACAUUUGGAUCUUGACACUGAUGUCAAGUCAGGCACGUUAGGCUGCCACAAGAGCUGAUGACGAGGACUGGGAUACACUCAGCCUUAUCUGGCCACCAGAAGGAGAGUGGAAAGAACCUUGGAAUUCCAUCACUUCAGAGGGGGCAAUCUGGAUCCAUUCAGCUUCAUCACGCUUACUGAAUGGCCAGAUUGUCCGGACUAUGCCAUCUUGAGGACUAGAGGGAAGUCCCAAACAUUUGGAGCUUGGCACUGAUGUCGAGUCAGGCCCCAUAGACUGUAUCAAGAGUAGAGGACCUUAUAUCCACAACAUCUGGACUUCAGAAGGCCAGGAGUAGGAUCCACUCAGCUUUGCCUGGCUGCCAGAAGGAAAGUGGAAAGGAACAUUAGCGGGCCGCUGUGGCUGAGCGGAUCUAGGCACUUCAGUCCGGAACCGCGUGACUGCUACGGUCGCAGGUUCGAAUCCCGCCUCGGGCAUGGAUAUGUGUGAUGUCCUUUGGUUGGUUAGUUCCAGGGGACUGGUGACCUCUGAUGUUAAGUCCCACAGUGCUCAGAGCCAUUUCAACCAUUUUGAAAGGACCUUGGAAUUCCAUCACUUAAGAGGUGGCGAUCCAGAUCCUUUCAGCAUCAUCAGGCUUACUGAAUGGCAAAUCAGUCCGGACUAUGCCAUCUUGAGGACUAGAGGGAAGUCCCAAACAUUUGGAGCUUGGCACUGAUGUCGAGUCAGGCCCCAUAGACUGUAUCAAGAGUGGAGGACCUUAUAUCCCCAACAUCUGGAGUUCAGGAGGUCAGGACUGGGAUGCACUCUGCCAGAAGGAGAGUGGAAAUGUCCAUGAAAUAUCAGCACUUCAGAGGUCAGGAUUGUGAUUCACUCAGCCUCAUCAGGCCUAGUGAAAGGCAAGUCAGUCCAGAGUGUGAUGCAUUGAAAGCAAAUGGGAAGGACCUGAGAUGUCUCCACCAUUUGGAGUUCAGGAUAGCAUUCCACCCUGUCCACUACAGCUGCGUCAGGACCAGAUUUGAGAGGAACUGCAAUAUCUGAUCCCAGAACUAAAGACCACUCAGCACCUUCAGGAAGACUCGAGUGUGUGGAGGUCAUGCAUAUAUAAUAAGUAGAAUUAGGGACUGAAAUGCUGUUGGCAUUGCCGGGUCACCACAGUAAUGCUUGAAGUCCAGUCAUUAAGAACUGGAUUUCUACAGCAUCAACAACAGCCAGAGAAAUACUACGUGCUCUUUUCUUCUUGGUAGACAGCAGACUCCUCUGCGGCAUAGCCUUUCUUUUAUGGCCCUUAUCUGUUUGUCUGAAAUAACCAUUUUGGGGUCAAACAGCUUCUACAUUUGCCUUUAAGGAUAACGUAGUUUUUUUGGCUAACUACAGUUCAGUUAUACAUAUAUAAAUUCAGAAUUUCAUUAUAAUCAAAUAAUGUUAUCUCCAUUGGAUUUACUUUACACGCACAUGAUGCACCAUGAUGAACACCAGGCUGCCAUGGCAUAGUGUGUGGUUGUUCAACAUGGACCUGAUUGUGGGUGUCAAGCCCUGCAAAUAAUUUUUGUGUUAUUAUACAGACAAAAUUGAAAGGUCUAAAAGGUGGCAUAUAUUCCACUGCAAGUAACUCUUAAAUCAGAAUCCUAACACACUACAUUGCUACUGAACAGCAACAUUGUGAAUAUUACUUAAUCUGACACCCUUAGCUGAUAUGAGGACAUUAGAGCAGUAUGAGAUACAUUCGGAAUAAUGGGUCCGAUUAAGUGUUACCUGUUGUGCUGUGCUGCACAAUUGGUAUGGCAUAACCAUGCUGCACAGCAACAAUGUGGUUCAUGUCCAGCCCUGUAAAUUAAUUUAAUAUUAUAUUGCAGACACAGUAAAAUAGAAUUUAAAGAUAUCAAUAUACAUUAAUAUGAAUUCAGAUUAUUAUCAUACUCAAAUAUGUUACCUCCAUUAGGUUUACUUUACACUCACCUGAUGCACCAUGGUGAAUACCUGACUGCCAUAACAUACUGUGUGGUUGUUCUACAACAUGCAAGUGAUUAUUGGUGUCAAGCCCUGCAAAUAAAUUUCAUAUCACAAUUGAGGCAAAAUUGAUAGGUACUGAAAGAUAGUAUAUACAUAUACUGUACUGCAAGUAACUAUUACAUCAGAUUCCAAACACACUGCAUUGCUACUGAACAGCAAAAUUCUAAAUUUUACUUAAUGUGACAUGUUUAUUUGGUGUGAGGACUUUAUAAUAGUACCACACAUAUUUAGAAUGAUGGAUCCCAUCAAGUUUUACCUGUUUUGCUAUGCUGUACAUCUGGCACGGCACGACUAUGCUCCGCAGGAACAUCAUGAUUCAUGUUGAGCUCUGCAUAUAAAUUUCAAAUUAUAAUUCACACAAAGUUGACAGGUACUGAACACAUAUUCGUAUA